AUGAGGAAAUACUGGAAUCUGCCAGAUGAAAAAUCUCUCAUGGCCUUUUCCCCCGAGUGGCUGUUACAAAGCUUAAGUUUCUGUUCAGGCGAUAUGAGAGAAAAAUUCCUACUUGUUCUGUGGAGAUCUUGGCAUAUGAGGGAUGAUGCCAUUCACAGUAAAGGAGAAGCUUCUAUCAGAGAUUCGGUGUUGUUUCUAAAAUCCUACUGGGAGUGCUUGAACUCUGAAAUCCCUGCUGUAAAUGAUAGUAAAGGUAAACAGAAACUGCAUGAAAUUUCAGUGCCAGCUCCUAGUAUCCCUCGACCUGACACUGGUUGGACAAAACCUCCUGAGAAGUACAUUAAAAUCAACAUUGAUGCGUCCUUCAUACCCUCCUUGGGUUUAACUGUUGUGGGUGCCAUUGGUAGAGACAGUUUGGGUGCUGUUUUAUUCUCGGCAGGCUGUCGUUUUCAGGGUUGCAUGGAUGCGGAGGAAUCUGAAGCUUGGGCACUGUCCUUUGGACUAAGACAAGCUAGCAAUUUGUCAUUAAACCAUAUUCUGGUGGAAUCUGACUGCUCUGCCGUGGUGUCUGCAGUUUCCGACGGCAACAUUGGCAGAACCAGGUGGUGGGCAAGCUAUGAGGAGUCAAAGAGAUUGAUGAGAGGUUUUGAGUCUUGUAAUGUGACCAAAACUUAUAGGGAGUGCAAUGUGGCCGCACAUGAGUUAGCUACGUAUGCUAGAAUCCAGGGUGAUUUCCUUUUCUCAGCUGAUGUGCCACAUAGUGUGAAACAUGUAAUCAUGUCCGACUGUAUACCUGGAUAA
This 801-nucleotide ribosomal RNA is filed under the name Triticum aestivum (bread wheat). Its description in RNAcentral is "partial small subunit ribosomal RNA". Lineage: Eukaryota; Viridiplantae; Streptophyta; Magnoliopsida; Poales; Poaceae. The record is from RNAcentral.